GAUGAACGCUAGCUACAGGCUUAACACAUGCAAGUCGAGGGGAAACGGCAUUGAGUGCUUGCACUCUUUGGACGUCGACCGGCGCACGGGUGAGUAACGCGUAUCCAACCUUCCCAUUACUGUGGGAUAACCUGCCGAAAGGCAGACUAAUACCGCAUAGUCUUCGAUGACGGCAUCAGAUUUGAAGUAAAGAUUUAUCGGUAAUGGAUGGGGAUGCGUCUGAUUAGCUUGUUGGCGGGGUAACGGCCCACCAAGGCAACGAUCAGUAGGGGUUCUGAGAGGAAGGUCCCCCACAUUGGAACUGAGACACGGUCCAAACUCCUACGGGAGGCAGCAGUGAGGAAUAUUGGUCAAUGGACGGAAGUCUGAACCAGCCAAGUAGCGUGCAGGAUGACGGCCCUAUGGGUUGUAAACUGCUUUUGUAUGGGGAUAAAGUUAGGGACGUGUCCCUAUUUGCAGGUACCAUACGAAUAAGGACCGGCUAAUUCCGUGCCAGCAGCCGCGGUAAUACGGAAGGUCCAGGCGUUAUCCGGAUUUAUUGGGUUUAAAGGGAGCGUAGGCUGGAGAUUAAGUGUGUUGUGAAAUGUAGACGCUCAACGUCUGAAUUGCAGCGCAUACUGGUUUCCUUGAGUACGCACAACGUUGGCGGAAUUCGUCGUGUAGCGGUGAAAUGCUUAGAUAUGAUGAAGAACUCCGAUUGCGAAGGCAGCUGACGGGAGCGCAACUGACGCUUAAGCUCGAAGGUGCGGGUAUCAAACAGG
This 761-nucleotide ribosomal RNA is filed under the name Prevotella melaninogenica. Its description in RNAcentral is "bacterial SSU rRNA". It matches the Rfam family "Bacterial small subunit ribosomal RNA", at positions 28 to 776 of the family's 1533-position model. The record is from RNAcentral. Lineage: Bacteria; Pseudomonadati; Bacteroidota; Bacteroidia; Bacteroidales; Prevotellaceae.